AGUGGUUAAGCAUUUGGCUGCUAACCAAAAGGUUGGGGUUUGAAUCCACCAGCCACUU
This 58-nucleotide transfer RNA is filed under the name Loxodonta africana (African savanna elephant). It matches the Rfam family "tRNA". Rfam says of the family: Transfer RNA (tRNA) molecules are approximately 80 nucleotides in length. Lineage: Eukaryota; Metazoa; Chordata; Mammalia; Proboscidea; Elephantidae. The record is from Rfam by way of RNAcentral.